This 3365-nucleotide long non-coding RNA is filed under the name Mus caroli (Ryukyu mouse). RNAcentral's name for it is "lncRNA (MGP_CAROLIEiJ_G0003631.1)". Lineage: Eukaryota; Metazoa; Chordata; Mammalia; Rodentia; Muridae. The record is from RNAcentral.
AAGUGCUCAGUGCAAGCCAUGGAUGAGAAGAAAUGAAUUGAUUUUCCUAUUUCUUUAAUGGCCUGCCAGAUUAUGCUAAAAGAAGAAGAGUGAAACUGAGGAUAGAGAAAGAUUCUGAGUGCUCAAAGGAAAGGUAAGGAACCAAGAGGGACCAUGCAGAAGGCGGGAGCAAGAGUCAGAAGGAGCAGAGAAGAGAGAAGAAAACAACAACAACAACAACAACAACCCAGGGGGCUGGAGAGAUGGAUCAGCAGUUGAGAGCACUAGGUACUCUUCCAGAGGACCCUGGUUCAGUUCCCAGCAGCCACAUGGAAGCUCACAACGGUCUGCAACUCCUGCUCUAGGGGAUCUGACCCCUCCCACAGGCAGACAAACAUGCAUGCAAAGCAUCGAUGUCAUGAAAUAAAAAUAAGUUAUAAAAAUAAAAGAGAGAGACUCAAAAUAAAGGGUCUGUUUGAAAACUAUAAGCAUUUGCCAUAAAUGUAGAACCUUUGCAAAAUGUAGUGACUCUGGCCUUUAUACAAAAAUUGAGAAACUGAGGCAGGAGAGUUGCAAAAUAAAUAUUUCAAGUUUAUCCUGAACAUUUUUAAAGGGCUUUUUACAAAAACAAACUGUAAAUAAUACACUAAUACUUAAUUAAACUAUAAAAUUUAACUUUUAACAUCUGCAGUUAAUAGUACUAUAGGCUAAAAUAUGAUAGAAUCCGUAGUUACAUGACCGUAUUGUGUACUUUUGUUUAUCUUGUUGUAUUCUGGGAAUGCUAGGCAAGAUUGUUACCACUAAACCACCCUCUCUAGCAUUUUUGGUUUAUUUUAUUCAAAGCUAUGAAAACAACUCUUCUACAGAACUCUGUUUUUAUUUAUAACAAAAGUAAUUUUUGUUUACACUCAGUUUAUUGCUGGGGAAAAUAAUAUCAAUUGAUUGUUUUACCCAUGGAUACAUCUUUCAGUGUGGAUAAGGGAUUCAAGCAACACUGCUUUGCAUUGAACAAAGAAAGAUCAGGCUAGGUGAUAGUUCAUAGGAACUCUUAGGUUGGUCACUACAGAGCCACAAACUUCAAUAUUUAUGUCUCUGUUUCACUGUAGCUAUGUUUAACAUAUCCAUAAAAGAUGCUUUGAUUAUUGAAUUGCUGGGCACAUGAGAGUACUGCACCAUAUGCUAGACUUCAUGCAUCACUGUCCACCUUUCCCUGUCUCUGGAGGCAUCUUGGGUGGCUAAUAAGCAGAGGCCUACGUAAGGGAUGAGACUCUACUGAUGGAUCUGUAUAGCCAUCCCAGUUACUUUUCUCUCUAACAAAAUGACUGACCGGAAUCUAGUAAUCAAGCUAGCCUGGGGAAGGUCUUUGGAAUCUUCUAUAAUUCUGACUGAGAUGUCCUUACUUCCUAGCACCCCAGCAAAUAACCUAGGGAAAACUGAGCUCUAAGAUUCUCAUAGGGCACAUAGACCAAAUGAUAAGAAACUCCAGAUCUCACCCUGCUCCUGAUAGCUAAGAGGCACAGGUUUGGAGGUCUGCUAGUGUAGACUACCCUUCAGGGAGAAGAUUCACAUUCCAAAAGUAUAGAUUUUUGCCCCAUUGAGGAAAAGUGUUUUCUUGAUUGUAUCUAUUCUUUUUUUCUCUGUCAUACCCUAAUUCUGGUUGCUGUGUUUCUUCCCUUUCUUUUUUCCUUAGUUCAACUGUCAACAUCUCAGAGAAGCAUUCCUGACCACAAAGGCAUUUGGCUUUGCCUUAGGAGUCUCCAAAUUAGACUUUGAUUAUUCUCCAAACCCUCAAAAAACAUUGCAGUAGUUUAUUUAUUUGUUUUCUGUCUGUUACUUUCAGUGGCGUGUAAGCACUGUGCAGGAAAAUUUCAUCCAAAUGAAACAUACUCAGAUUUUACACUGGAAUGAAAUAGCUGGCCUCCCAAAUAAAAUAUUAACUGAAUACAUAGAUAAAUGGCUCCAUGGAGGUAACAAGAAGAAUGGGCAAACCGGUGUGCAAGCAAGAUGUGAUGGAAAGAGUUUUGAUUGGAAGAGUAGAGUCUAAUAACUUCAUUUUAUUAAUUAAAUUGGCUAAUAGAAUGGAGAGUGAAUAAAAAGAGCCUGUGACACAAAUACUCUAAACUUCUCUUUAAGUUACAUAGAAAAGAAUUUCUAUUUCAAAUGUCUGACGUUUCAUACCAAACACCCAUACAUUAUUUCAGUUCUAUCUGGAGUAAGAAACAGACAAAUGGACCACAUUUUCUUAACAAAGAAAUUUAGAAAAUCCAGGGACAAAUGUGCAUUAGCAACUUCAAUGUAACCAAAGACUGGAGACUGCUGGCAUUGCCCCUAGGACCAGCUUUGGACCAGCCACAUGCUAAUUAGAGUGGCUACCUACACAUUGACUUGACUGCCAGCUUCAUCUUUAAUUAUGAGAAUACUCCUGAACAUUUACAGAAACUUGAACCCAUAGCACUGUACAUUUAUUUAUCUAAAAAAUUGGAGAGAAAGAUAAGUGUUAAGAUUCCUCAGAGAAACACAGCUAAUAUAUACGUGGAUGGUACUAUUUAACAUUGUGUCUCUGACAAUUAAAAUUAAUUUUAAAAAUCUAUUAUGCUCUAUGAUGCAGAGCAGACUUCUCAAUCAAAAUCAUAAGCAGAACUAGAAUGGUUUAAACUAUAUUUGAAACUGUAUAGAAUUUCUAUCUUUAAAUGUAGGGUUUCUUAAGAUACCGAAAACAAAUGAAAUAUAAAUUGGGAACCGAGUACAUUCUAGAAUAAUUAGUUAUAAUACUAACCUACCAUUUAGCUUUCUUCCCUACUAGGAAAAAAUAGCUUUUCAUUCAAGUUGCUAUAACCAGUGGCUCUAGUCACUGUGUUCUAUAUCAUAUUAAUAUCCUUCACACCCUUUGUUAACAAAAAAAUAACAUGGUCCCCCAAAACACUCCACAUACCUAUAGAUUAAGUGAUUGUGAAAGCUGGGUUUUACCCAAAGCAAGCUUUGGUCAUUAUGAUUCAUUUUUACAUGCUAAUUUUUCUAUGUUGUUAACUUCCUUUUUAAAAUUGUUACAAAACCUCAUACAUUAUAUAUAUAAUUGUAUCAAAAAACAUCCUAUUGCCAUGUAAAUUGGAUUGUCAAGUAAAAUGUAAUAAUCUUUGACCUCACCCCAGCCAUUGACAUCAAUUUAAAAAAAUAUAUGCCUACAGGCUUUUAAACCAUACAACGUCCUAAUGUAAAGAACAUUACAUUUUCUUUAGAAAAUCCCCUGUUACAAAGCUCUUACUACCUGUUUACUGAGUACAAAUUGUGAUCGCUGUUACUCACUUUUAAAAGCCCAUGCAUAUACAUGUGCACAUAUAUGUAUACAUAUAUAGCCUACAAUUAAGUAUAGUGAUGGUAUUAUUUUG